CCCUGGCACUUAAUGAAUUCUUCAACUCUCUUCCUCUGUUCUUCUCACUCACAACUUCGAAACUCAAAACAAACUGUAUCAAUCUCGGAUCAUCAUCAAGCGAGCUUAAUUAGCUUUAGGCAGGAAAGAAAGAGACAGUACAGCAGAGUCUGCAGAGAUGUGUUUUGUGUUUUUAUGUGACGAAGAAGAGAGGGAUUUAGGCAGGCAACAAGCUUCAGGGUCAUGUCCUCACUGUGGAGGUAAAGUACAAGCCGUGGAUUUUGAAGGCCGGUGGAGGUUCUGUUUCUUGCCCAUAUGCUACAAGAUGAAGAGAAAAUAUUUAUGCACUUUAUGUUCCAGGCGGCUGGAAUUAUCUCUUAAUAGCUGAUUCCUAGAUGUCUUCUUUAUCUUGCAUGUCUUUCUUUGCUUCUUUUUUUUUUUGGUAAUAUUUUUUUCAUGUCUUUCGUUAUUAUGUUGUGAAGAGAGGGAUGGCUUCUUCAUAUGAUUAAAUGUAUAUUAUGGCACCUUUAUUAAGUGGUUAUGGGGAUUCAGUGUUCCUUGCGUUGAUCUA
Populus euphratica (Euphrates poplar) is the source of this 550-nucleotide long non-coding RNA. RefSeq lists it as uncharacterized. Lineage: Eukaryota; Viridiplantae; Streptophyta; Magnoliopsida; Malpighiales; Salicaceae. The transcript has 2 exons. The record is from RefSeq and is a predicted model, not a curated record.